ACGGAAGGCAGCAGCUAAGAAUAUUCCGCAAUGGACGAAAGUCUGACGGAGCGACGCCGCGUGGAUGAUGAAGGUCGGAAGAUUGUAAAAUCCUUUUAUAACUGAGGAAUAAGCAGUGUGAGAGAAACGCAUUGCGGUGACUGUAGGUUAUGAAUAAGCAACGGCUAAUUACGUGCCAGCAGCCGCGGUAACACGUAAGUUGCGAGCGUUGUUCGGAAUUAUUGGGCGUAAAGGGCAUGUAGGCGGUUUUGCAAGCUUGAUGUGAAAGGCAGGAGCUUAACUCCUGGGCUGCGUUGAGAACUGCAUGACUAGAGUCACUGAGGGGCAAUCAGAAUUCCUGGUGUAGGGGUGAAAUCUGUAGAUAUCAGGAAGAAUACCAAUGGCGAAGGCAGGUUACCAGCAGAUGACUGACGCUGAGGUGCGAAGGUGCGGGGGGCAAACAGGAUUAGAUACCCUGGUA
RNAcentral lists this ribosomal RNA (460 nucleotides) under uncultured Treponema sp. RNAcentral describes it as "partial 16S ribosomal RNA". It matches the Rfam family "Bacterial small subunit ribosomal RNA", at positions 341 to 792 of the family's 1533-position model. The record is from RNAcentral. Lineage: Bacteria; Pseudomonadati; Spirochaetota; Spirochaetia; Treponematales; Treponemataceae.